RNAcentral lists this ribosomal RNA (479 nucleotides) under uncultured bacterium. RNAcentral describes it as "partial 16S ribosomal RNA". It matches the Rfam family "Bacterial small subunit ribosomal RNA", at positions 29 to 507 of the family's 1533-position model. The record is from RNAcentral.
UAUUAACUCUAGCGGGAGGCCUAACACAUGCAAGCCGAGCGGUAGAGUCUCUUCGGAGACUUGAGAGCGGCGCACGGGUGCGGAACACGUGUGCAACCUGCCUUUAUCUGGGGGAUAGCCUUUCGAAGGGAAGAUUAAUACCCCAUAAUAUACUGGAUGGCAUCAUCUGGUAUUGAAAACUCCGGUGGAUAGAGAUGGGCACGCGCAAGAUUAGAUAGUUGGUGAGGUAACGGCUCACCAAGUCAGCGAUCUUUAGGGGGCCUGAGAGGGUGAUCCCCCACACUGGUACUGAGACACGGACCAGACUCCUACGGGAGGCAGCAGUGAGGAAUAUUGGACAAUGGGUGAGAGCCUGAUCCAGCCAUCCCGCGUGAAGGACGACGGCCCUAUGGGUUGUAAACUUCUUUUGUAUAGGGAUAAACCUAGAUACGUGUAUCUAGCUGAAGGUACUAUACGAAUAAGCACCGGCUAACUCCGUG